CUGUCGUCAGCUCGUGUCGUGAGAUGUUGGGUUAAGUCCCGCAACGAGCGCAACCCUUGUCAUUAGUUGCCAUCAUUUGGUUGGGCACUCUAAUGAGACUGCCGGUGACAAACCGGAGGGAAGGUGGGGAUGACGUCAAGUCCUCAUGGCCCUUAUGGGUAGGGCUUCACACGUCAUACAAUGGUCGGUACAGAGGGUUGCCAACCCGCGAGGGGGAGCUAAUCCCACAAAGCCGAUCGUAGUCCGGAUCGCAGUCUGCAACUCGACUGCGUGAAGUCGGAAUCGCUAGUAAUCGUGGAUCAGCAUGUCACGGUGAAUACGUUCCCGGGUCCUU
RNAcentral lists this ribosomal RNA (334 nucleotides) under uncultured Rhodocyclaceae bacterium. RNAcentral's name for it is "bacterial SSU rRNA". It matches the Rfam family "Bacterial small subunit ribosomal RNA", at positions 1049 to 1382 of the family's 1533-position model. Lineage: Bacteria; Pseudomonadati; Pseudomonadota; Betaproteobacteria; Rhodocyclales; Rhodocyclaceae. The record is from RNAcentral.